AUGCAAGUCGAUCGGUAACGCGGGGGCAACCCUGGCGACGAGAGGCGGACGGGUGAGGAACGCUUGGGAAUCUGCCCAUCAGCGGGGGACAACCCGGGGAAACCCGGGCUAAUACCGCAUACGCUCUACGGAGGAAAGCCGGGGGACCGCAAGGCCUGGCACUGAUGGAUGAGCCCAAGUCGGAUUAGCUAGUUGGCGGGGUAACGGCCCACCAAGGCGACGAUCCGUAGCUGGUCUGAGAGGACGAUCAGCCACACUGGGACUGAGACACGGCCCAGACUCC
RNAcentral lists this ribosomal RNA (283 nucleotides) under uncultured bacterium. Its description in RNAcentral is "partial 16S ribosomal RNA". It matches the Rfam family "Bacterial small subunit ribosomal RNA", at positions 55 to 339 of the family's 1533-position model. The record is from RNAcentral.